AGAAUACCGGCCUGUCACGCCGGGGGUCGCGGGUUCGAGUCCCGUCCGCACCGCCAACAUUCAGAAGCCCUGAG
RNAcentral lists this transfer RNA (74 nucleotides) under Yersinia enterocolitica (type O:5,27) str. YE149/02. Its description in RNAcentral is "transfer RNA-Asp". The stretch from base 1 to 53 matches the Rfam family "tRNA", at positions 20 to 71 of the family's 71-position model. Rfam says of the family: Transfer RNA (tRNA) molecules are approximately 80 nucleotides in length. Their secondary structure includes four short double-helical elements and three loops (D, anti-codon, and T loops). Further hydrogen bonds mediate the characteristic L-shaped molecular structure. tRNAs have two regions of fundamental functional importance: the anti-codon, which is responsible for specific mRNA codon recognition, and the 3' end, to which the tRNAs corresponding amino acid is attached (by aminoacyl-tRNA synthetases). tRNAs cope with the degeneracy of the genetic code in two manners: having more than one tRNA (with a specific anti-codon) for a particular amino acid; and 'wobble' base-pairing, i.e. permitting non-standard base-pairing at the 3rd anti-codon position. The record is from RNAcentral. Lineage: Bacteria; Pseudomonadati; Pseudomonadota; Gammaproteobacteria; Enterobacterales; Yersiniaceae.